Molecule: ribosomal RNA, 245 nt
Filed under: uncultured bacterium
Lineage: Bacteria
Description: partial 16S ribosomal RNA
Rfam family: Bacterial small subunit ribosomal RNA
Source: RNAcentral
UACGAAGGGGGCUAGCGUUGUUCGGAAUUACUGGGCGUAAAGGGCGCGCAGGCGGCCUUUGAAGUCAGGCGUGAAAGCCCCGGGCUCAACCUGGGAAUGGCGCUUGAUACUCGAAGGCUUGGAGUUCGGGAGAGGAGAGUGGAAUUCCCAGUGUAGAGGUGAAAUUCGUAGAUAUUGGGAAGAACACCGGUGGCGAAGGCGGCUCUCUGGACCGAGACUGACGCUGAGGCGCGAAAGCGUGGGGA